RNAcentral lists this long non-coding RNA (967 nucleotides) under Olea europaea (common olive). RNAcentral's name for it is "long non-coding RNA (OEUR_LNC010822)". The record is from RNAcentral. Lineage: Eukaryota; Viridiplantae; Streptophyta; Magnoliopsida; Lamiales; Oleaceae.
UUGGAGAGAAGAAUUAGCUUUCCAGGUGUUCCAGUGAGAGGGAAAACUUUUCAGCAUUUCUAAAAUGCUCCAACACUGCAGCCUUCUCUGUUUCCCUGUCUUUACAACCACAAUCCCCAUGUGAUCCCUUUUAUAUCAUUCUAGGAUUCACCUUUAUAAGUUAGAAUCGACUGAACGAAUUAUUUUCUACCACCAUGUUCGAUCAUUGCUAAAUCUAUAGGAAGCUUGGUUCUAAAAUUCUUGUAGCAAACCAAGAAAGAGCGAUUUCUCGCAAAUAUACCAUGUUGCAAACCUUCCUUGGAGAUUGGAAAUUUCAGAAAGAAUAGAGCUGUGUCAGUAUUAUUCUUGUACAUUUUUAACUGUAAAAUCCAAAACCCACUGGUAUGUUCUAAUGGGUUUUACUAGGAAAACAGGGAGGCGGUCCGAACCCCACAAAUUGGGGGGGUGGGGGGGGAUCCUGUCAGGGAGGCGGUCAGCCUCCCUGUUACAGGAGCAAAACCCAUGCUCUAAUAGGAGCAGAAAAAGUAAUGAAAACUACGAAUUGAAUUGAUGUCAAAUUUUGCAGAGAAAUAUGAAACUGUGUAUUUACAGUAGAAUGAUAUUAUCACACAGAAAGUAAAUCUGAACAGUGAAAAUGGCAUUUAAUUUACUUUAAUCAUUGAUAAAAGAGAAAGUUAAGGUGACAACUAAUCCUAAUUAAAGAAGCUUACUUUGAACUAUAUUGCUGUACCAUCGGAGCUAGCAUUACAAACUGUUGCUUUUGUCAUGCACAUCAUAAUUAGCAAUGCAAUGACCACACCAUUGCUACCCAACAGGUCCACUGAUUAGCAGGCUGCAAUAAUAUAAGCAUUUAAUUAAAAACUAUGAAUCCCUCCUCUUGCUUACCUAAUUGGCAAACCAGUUGGACCACUAAAAAGAGAGAUUUUUCUAAGCUAAUUCACUUGUCUUUUAAUGAAUGAAUUUUACA